This is an RNA transcript of Daphnia magna, 12795 nucleotides long. It is a transcript of the gene named voltage-dependent T-type calcium channel subunit alpha-1G, with no coding region annotated. The record is from RefSeq and is a predicted model, not a curated record. The transcript is spliced from 36 exons. NCBI's taxonomy places the organism in Eukaryota, Metazoa, Arthropoda, Branchiopoda, Diplostraca, Daphniidae.
CGCCAAUAAGACUGGAACAGAAUUGCACACUUGAAAAUGAUUGAAUCCAGAAGACAGGCAAAUGGAAAUGACGUACAAUAGUUUUUGUUUCGCUCGUUUUGCGCUGGACGAGCAUAAAAACAAAAAAAAAAGGAAAGAAUGAAAAUGGGUUGUACUGAUGGGGUCAUACAACGGCAGACAGAUUGGGUAUACGCGGACACGAGUACUAUAUACCACGACGACCACCACCAACGGGAAUGCGGCCAUGUUGAUGCCUAAAAUUAGCCGGACGACGGCUGAUUGGCACGGACCAGAAGAACCGACGGAAUAGAACAAAAACAUACACUGUACACUGCGCUAUACUCCCCGCGCCCGUGUGUGUGUGUGUGUGUGUACGUACUAUACAGUCGUGGCCCUAUCGAAAAUUCAAGCACAUCAAAAUGUCAAGUGCUUUCCUUUUUUCCUGUUGUUGACCUCGAUCCAACAACGUUACGUACACCAUCGGCAACAACAUUCCCGAGUGGCACGGAUAGUUGGGGGGCUAAGAUUCUUUUUCUUUCGAUUUUCGGGUAUGACCUCAUCAGCGGAAUUUCAUCAUUACAAAAAAAACGCAGUGUGGAGUAGGAGUCAUUCGUACGUGGAGGUAGUGUUUUUCUUAGAAAACAGAAUCCAAGCAGAAAAAAAAAAAAAGUUUGAAGAGUUUUGAAAACUCGAAAAAAAUAAAAGUUGCGCAAUGGUACGGUGGCGCAUUGAAAUCCGGUGGCCGGCCAGCCGACGCCGCUCCUCCCUUCCGUUUUCUCUCUCCCCUCUCUGCCUUUGUAUGUGGUGUGUGUACGUCGUGGGGGGAAGAAGGUUAGGAGAAGGUGGGGGGGAUAUGGAGGUUGGGAACUUACACACGCAGACACACACACACACGGGAGUGAAAAGGAGGAAAAAGAAUCGGAACAGUCCGGAAAGCGGAUCAGUCGACGUGCUUACGUCUUUGACGUUGCAGCCCUUCGUUUUUUUGUGUGUACAUGUGCGUUGUUGUAUUGUAGUAGUGUGUGAAAGAGCACGGUCCCGGAUGUUACAUGGUGUGUAUAUGUGUUGUGUGUGUGUGUCGGUGCGUGUGAGUGUGACUGGACAUUUGAUUCGCCAUCCGUCGGGCCGAUUGAAUUAAAAAAAAAAAAAAAAACUAAGAAAAACUAAGACAAAUGGACGGCUAAAUUAUUUAUCGAGAAAAGCCGAUCCAUCGGAUUUGCUUUGGUUUCGGGUUACUCUAAACCGAAAGAAUUUGUGGUGUUGAAGAAAAGAAAGAAUUGCGAAUUGCUUUUCGUUUUCCAUCCCGUGUCGUCUCCAUCCGUCCGCACAGUUUCCGCUCCGAGUUUAUUUGUUCGUUUUUCCCUUUUGUUUUUGUUUUUUUGUUUGUUAGUUUUGAGGGGGGACCCAAGUGAAGGAGCUACACCAAAGGGGGGUUGUGUUUUCCUUGCCGUCUCCACACGGUUCACUACUUGAGAAGAAAAAAGAAAAAGAAUAAAAAAGGAAAAUCUGCUCAAGAAUUUCCAGGGAACCUGGAGCGCACACACACAGACAACAUCCAUUCGAUAACGACCGCAAUGUCAUAAGGAACCGCUGCGCCAGUGUGCCUCUCUCUCAUACACACACACACACACACACAUCUAAGGUGUGUUUUUAUCUGUUGGUCUUUGGUGUGUCUGUGUGUGCCUGUGUGUGUGUGUGUGUGCGUGCGUGCCGUGCCGUGAAGAAGCUGCCCGAGACUCUUGUUUGCUAGUUCUCUCCCGUUCUCUCUGAACCUCCUUGUGUGGUUACGGACGCGUGUUCCGGUCGGAAUGAAGGAAAUAAAGAAGGAAUAGAUCAACGAUUAAAAGGGGGGGAAAAAAAAAGAGGAAAGAUAGACAGGAAAGAUAAGAAGAAGUUGGCCAAAAGUUUUGUCUUCGAUGAACGACAGUCGAUGUGAUGGAUCGUCGGGUUGGAGAUGAAGUAGACGAAGGGGUAGGGCGAGGCGAGCUAGACAAAUCGCCCGUCAUCACGACCAAGAAUCGGCCAUCAUCACCGACAUCAUUAUUGCCACCGCUGCAGAGGCGGCCAUCGACACCAACGACGCCGAUCGCAUGCCCGGCUCACGAUCCUCUCGCCGCCUGUCCUGUCGUCGACGACAUGGUCCACCAGUCGACGACGGACAAUCAAGUGGAACAUCAACAACAGCAAAGAGAAGCGACGAGGACGCCCUUACCGUCGACACCCAGCGUCUUAGUCGAGUGCAGUCCCACAACUCCUCCUCCUGCCGACGAAGACGAUGUCGUCUACUACUCCGGCUAUCACUCGGAGGAGGUCGAUGAAGAUUUGGAGGAUUUAGAAGAAGAACAAGAAGAGGAUGACGAUGAUGAAGUGGUAGAAGAAGAAGAAGAAGAAGAAGAAGAAGAAGAAGACGAAGAAGAAGAAGAAGACCAAGUCGAUGGUCACGAUGAAGAGGAAGAUGAUGAUGGUUUACCGUACCCGGGUUUCAUACCCGUCACGCUCGGCUUCAUGACUCAAUACAGCCAGCCAAGAAACCUAUGUUUACGGAUGAUCACCAAUCCGUGGUUCGAGAGGAUCAGCAUGGCCGUCAUCUUUUUCAACUGCGUCACGUUGGGCAUGUACCAGCCCUGUAUCGACCAGGUCUGCAACACCAAUCGAUGCCGCAUCCUCCAGAUGCUGGAUGAUUUCAUAUUUGCCUUCUUCGCCCUGGAGAUGUCCAUCAAAAUGAUCGCCAUGGGUGUUUACGGUAAAGGAACUUACCUGGCCGAAACGUGGAACAGGCUCGAUUGUUUUAUCGUCAUCGCCGGAGCGGUGGAAUAUUGCUUGGAUAUGGAGAACAUGAAUUUAUCCGCCAUCCGGACCAUCCGAGUUUUGCGGCCACUAAGAGCUAUCAACCGAAUACCCAGCAUGAGGAUAUUGGUGAUGCUGUUACUGGAUACAUUACCCAUGCUUGGCAAUGUUCUGUUGCUCUGCUUUUUCGUCUUUUUCAUCUUCGGCAUCGUCGGUGUCCAGCUCUGGGCUGGUAUUCUUCGUCAGAGGUGCUACCUUGAUCUACCGAAGGGCAUUGUCCCACCAGCCACAUUCACGACCAUCGACCGAACUCUGCCCAUCUUUUACAAACCCAAGACCCACUACAGGCCUCUGUCCAGCUAUUAUAAAGUGCAAGAGACGGAGAAGGACUACAUUUGUUCCCUGGCCAAAGACAGUGGGAUGCAUACAUGCGCCUCGCUGCCUCACACCAAAUCUGACGGGCGAGUGUGCAAUGACAGCGUCGUGCCUGGCAUACCCGUUGGAAUGGACGGUCUCUCAGUCAACGGCUCUUGUAUCAAUUGGAAUCAAUACUACACCGAUUGUAGAGCUGGUGAAAAGAAUCCUUUCCAGGGAGCCAUAUCCUUUGAUAACAUCGGUUUGGCUUGGGUUGCCAUCUUUCUAGUCAUUAGUCUUGAAGGAUGGACCGACAUCAUGUACUACGUCCAGGAUGCCCACUCUUUCUGGGACUGGGUUUACUUUGUCCUCCUUAUUGUGAUCGGCUCGUUCUUCAUGAUCAACCUGUGCCUGGUGGUAAUAGCCACGCAGUUCUCCGAGACGAAGAAGCGGGAAAUGGAGCGGAUGCGUCUGGAACGGGCGCGCUACCAAUCGACGUCCACAUUGGCCAGCACGUCGGCCAGCGAGUCAACUUCAUGCUACCGGCAGAUCAUCAAGUACAUUGCACAUUUGUGGCGGAGGAGCAAGCGACGUAUACUCAGACGAUACAGAGCCUACCGCAGCCGGAAGAAGCUGCAGCAACAGCAACAACAGCUGGAUCACCCACAAUACGGCAAACAACAAUCAGCGACGCAUUCGCUCAGUUUAAGGACGCGGAGGAAACAGCAACGGCGCAGGAAGAGGAGGAGGAGGCGGAGCAGGCAUCCGCAUCCUGAAUGCCCUAAACAUGGCGCCCAACAACAAGAGCAACAACAACAACAUCAACAUCAAUUGCAGAGAAAUAGCCAAUGUUCUAGCAGCUAUCGAGUACCGUCCGUAAGUUCACAGGUAGCGUUGAGAAUCAAUGAUGGGCCGGCUUCGCCUCUCGAUUCGCCCGUCCCCAUACUCUCAAAUGCUCGGCGCGCCAGCGUUGCCGUCUCCAUCGACCAUCACCAUCAGCGAUCCUCUCCAUUCCUCUCGCCCAGAGGAUCUUUGGCAAUGGCCGAUGAUUCGUCAGAUUCGUCGCAGUUGUUGACGCCAAGGACGCCUAGGCGUCGCCGAAGUAGUGUUAUGUUUAGUGACGUUGUCGUCGCUCACGGCAUGAGUAACAGUGUGGCCGAUGUCAAUGUCUGCUGGAGCGAGAAGAUCACCCAGACGGGCGGUUUCACUACGGAAUCGGUUGCAUCCGCCGGAAGUGAAUCUCGUCAGCCACAUCAUCAGACAUCUGGUUCGUCUAAUCCGUCGUCACCGCUGUCGUUCAAUCGCAAAUCGUCAUUGAGGCAACGAGUCACAUCCAACCAGACGACCGACGAACUACGGCCCAGUUGUUCAGCCCCGGGUCCAGGAUCCGGUACGACAUCUGGUAGCGUUGCAGCGACGUCCACCUUGACACAAGUCCCAAAUGGAGCUGGUCUAACCUGUCAAGAAUUGCUGGCUCUUAGUGGAGCCCUUGGGGCAGCGCUGCCCACUCCUUUAGCGUUGCCCAACUAUCCGUCGGAUGAGCCGAAAACUGCGGUAAUGGUUGUUGCUCCGGUCGCGGCCAAACAUAGCAACAACCAUAAAUGCAAUAACCAGUUAUUGGCACCGCCGGGCAUGAUGCCCAUCUUACCAACUCUGGCCAUGUCUCUUUGGCCGGAACCGUUUCAAGACCCUGGACGUAGCGGCGACGAUCAUUGGACAACGAUCCCGUGCGUGAACAACAGGAAGCCGGCAGAGACGGCAGAGACGGCAGUUGACGUGGAGACGGACAAUGAAGACGAUAGGAAUUGCAUUUGCUGCUCAUCGGACGACGAGGAAUAUUCAGCGUCCGAUGAAGAGGCCGGUUCGGAAGAUCAAAACGAAGACUAUUACGAAGAAGAUGAAGAACAACGAGGAGCAUCCGUCGAAGUGUUUGAGCAUCGUCGUUCGCCCUUGUCUCGCUAUUGGUCGCUCGUCAAGGAAUAUUAUAAAACGUUCCAGCGGAGUGUCAAAGCCCUCGUCGAGCACAAGUACUUCCAGCAGGGACUUUUGGGAGCCAUUCUCAUCAAUACGCUCAGCAUGGGCAUCGAAUAUCACAACCAGCCAGAAGAACUGACGCUGACAGUCGAAUUUAGCAACAUCGUUUUCUCAGCCAUUUUCGCCAUUGAGAUGCUGCUCAAAGUGAUCGCCGAAGGUCCGCUCAACUACAUCGGCAACGGUUUCAACGUCUUUGACGGUGUUAUCGUCAUUCUCAGUUUGGUGGAAGUGUUUCAGAGCUUGAAUCGCUUCGAAGGGGAUGACGGUGGCAGUUCGGGCCUUUCGGUUUUGAGGACGUUUCGUCUUUUGCGCAUCUUGAAAUUAGUCCGUUUCAUGCCAAACUUGCGUCGUCAAUUGAUCGUCAUGUUGCGCACAAUGGACAAUGUGGCCGUCUUCUUCGCCUUGCUCCUGCUCUUCAUUUUCAUAUUCAGCAUUUUGGGCAUGAAUUUGUUCGGCUGCAAAUUUUGUCGCAAAACCAGCGACCAGUCGACGAGUUGCGACCGUAAAAACUUCGACUCCCUCCUGUGGGCCAUAGUGACCGUGUUUCAGAUUUUGACCCAAGAAGAUUGGAAUGUUGUUCUAUUCAAUGGCAUGGAGAAGACAAGCCAUUGGGCAGCGCUUUAUUUCGUGGCGCUCAUGACAUUUGGCAACUAUGUCCUGUUCAAUCUCCUAGUCGCCAUUCUCGUCGAAGGCUUCUCCGCUGAGAGAACGGAGCGACUGGAACGUGAACAGCGUGAGCAGGCCAGACAGGAACGCCAUGCAGCAAGAGCUCUUGCCACGGCUGCGGCUUUGUCAAUCCAAGAUGAGGCAACAUCGGGUGGCUCUUGUCACGGGGAUCAGGAGACGGGUCCACCGGCACCUGAAAAUUGUUCGCCCGAUUCGCCGUCGUCUGCCGACGGUGUUGGGUGUCAUCAACAAGAGCUGCAGCACGACAACUAUUUCUCGAGAUCUUCGGUGACGGAGGAGAGUUGCAGUCCUGUCGGCUACUGUGCCAAUGACAUCGCGGUCGAAGACGUAUUGGUCUCCGUCGUCGAUAGCGCCCAGCUGGCCGACUUACUACUCGAGGAGGAACGCAAACAAGCCAAACUGGCACUAUUGGAGUCUCAACAACAGCGCCGACUCAAGGAGAAUUCGUACAAUGCCAUUCAGGAGCAACAGCGCCGUGAAUCUUUAUACAGUAAGAGUCAUCACGAUUGCGCUAACAAUCCCAACCAUUACGAUCCAAAGUCAAACAUCGAACGAGAAACGAUCCUGUUCUGUCAGCCGCAGUCAUCUGUUGUUCCUCGAUCGGAAUUUCAAACGCGGACGACAAAUGGAUCGGAUAGGAUGGAAACGCAUCCGAGCGCAACUGCGUCGCAGCAUUUAUUGCUUCCGCCAACGACAGCUCCGAUCAUCACCCACACAGCCGCCACUCCGCAAGGAUCUCCAAAUGCCACGCUCGAUUCCAUUUGCAGUCACAGGGAAAGCGCGCCGUGCGUCAGACUAUCUCCGUUGAAGUCGGUCAAGUUAGUAGGCGUGUCUCCGCCACGUCGUACUUCGGUAGAAGGUUCUCCUUUACACGGAGAUACUGGUAUCAAUUUGGGACUCGAGACGUUGGGUUCGCCGUCUUUACUGCGAACGCCGAGCAACAGAUCCUGCGCUAGCUCCAGAUCGUCUAGACGAUCGAGUUUGAAUCCCAUCAUGCCCAGUCGAGGUAUUCUCAGCAGAAAGAGCAGCCUGGCUGCCCCCUCAGGGGGAGGAAUGGUAUCAUCGCCGGAAGAGUCAGCCGAUACCAAUUCAUUGUUGCCUUUAUCGUCCUCGGAGAUGCUGGGCGGCGGAAGUGGCGUCCUUCGCCAGGGCAGCAAGAAAUUGUGGAGGCGGCUGUCAUCGCGGGAUACGGCUGGCAUCCCCACUAAUGGAUCGCAUGCCGAUCUGGAAGCUGAGCUGGAAGAGGACCACGCAUCCAACGCGGGCAAUUACAGCCUUCUAAACAACCUGAACAACCAACGACAACCGAGUUGCAGUAAUCAUGAUCGACUUGCCUGUAAUGGCAGCGCCCAACACGAUGGAAUUCACCAGCCAUUCACGCGGAAACCGAUUCUGUCUCAUCAGAAUUCUUUCGGCAGUCCGACAACAUUGAGUCCGCAGAAUUCUAUCCGCAGUAACGGCUCGUCGCCGCGGAGUCCAUCACCCGGAUUCAAUAACCUGGCGCCGAAUAACAACAACAACGGCAGUAAUUUGAAUUUCUCCAUCGGAGAAGGGCAAACGGGGGCCAACAGCACGACAACCAAAACAGAGGAGGAAGUGGUAGUGAAGAAACGGCUAAUUGUUCGCCUUUAUGAACGAUUCCCUCAACUCAAGAAGCGGGAAGACUACGCCCUCUUUAUUCUGUCGCCGGAAAAUUCCAUUCGGCGGUCAUGUAGUACGUUGGUGAGAAAGAGUUGGUUCGACCAUACAAUCCUGUUUUUCAUCGGAUUGAAUUGCGUCACGUUGGCCAUGGAACGGCCGCUCAUUCCACCCGAUUCGUUCGAGCGUGCCUUCCUCUCCGUGUCCAACUAUGUCUUCACUUUUGUCUUUGCCAUCGAAAUGAUUUUGAAAGUCAUGGCCGUCGGCAUGUUUUACGGCCCAAGUGCUUAUUUUGAUUCCGGAUGGAACAUCAUGGACGGUCUCCUCGUCAGCGUGUCCAUCGUUGAUAUUCUCAUGUCACUUUUGUCUAGCGGCAGUCCGCGCAUCUUUGGCAUACUCAGAGUCUUCCGGCUGCUGCGAUCCUUGAGGCCGUUGCGAGUCAUCAACCGAGCGCCCGGCUUGAAAUUGGUGGUGCAAACCUUACUAUCUUCUUUGAAACCCAUCGGAAACAUUGUGCUCAUUUGCUGCACUUUCUUCAUCAUCUUCGGAAUCCUCGGAGUCCAGUUAUUCAAAGGGAGUUUCUUCUACUGUGAGGGGCCCAACAUCCGUUCGGUCCGCAAUCGAACGGAUUGUUUGGCGGCGGAUCCUCGCAACAUGUGGGUCAAUCGCGCCUACAAUUUCGAUGACCUCGGACAGGCCCUAAUGGCCCUUUUCGUCCUUUCGUCCAAAGAUGGCUGGGUCAACAUUAUGUACACUGGGCUAGACGCCGUCGGUGUCGAUCAACAGCCGAUCGAGAAUUACAGCGAGUGGCGCUUAAUCUACUUCAUCUCGUUUCUGCUGUUGGUCGGUUUCUUCGUGCUCAACAUGUUCGUCGGUGUCGUCGUCGAGAAUUUCCAUCGUUGCCGUGAAGAACAGGAGAAGGAGGAGCGAGCUCGGCGGAUGGCGAAGCGGGCGCGCAAAAUGGAAAAAAAGCGCAGAAUUGGUACUGUAGUCGCACUCAAUGACGUCGUCAUCGAUGGCACUGACCCCGGACCUAAGCCCAGAGCCGUGAGAACGGAGAUGCGACGGCCUCCCUACUACACCAACUAUUCACGUUCGCGGCUAGUCAUUCACAAUGUGGUGACGUCCAAGUACUUUGACUUGGCCAUCGCCGCUGUUAUUGGUCUUAACGUCGUCACAAUGGCCAUGGAAUUUUACCUUAUGCCACCUGAACUGGAAUCGGCGCUGCGCAUUUUCAAUUAUUUCUUCACGGCCGUCUUCAUCAUCGAAUCCGUCUGCAAAGUCGUGGCCUUGGGAGUGCGACGGUACAUCAAGGAUCGCUGGAAUCAGCUAGACGUCGCCAUCGUCAUCCUGUCUAUCGUUGGCAUCGUUUUAGAGGAGAUGAAAUCCGAUUUAAUUCCAAUUAAUCCCACAAUCAUCCGCGUUAUGCGCGUUUUGCGGAUAGCCAGAGUGUUGAAGUUGCUGAAAAUGGCCAAAGGAAUCCGCUCUUUGCUGGACACAGUGAUGCAAGCACUUCCGCAAGUCGGCAACUUGGGACUCUUGUUCUACUUGCUAUUCUUCAUUUUUGCUGCCCUUGGAGUCGAAUUGUUUGGUCGUUUGGAAUGUGAUGACGACCAUCCGUGCCAAGGUCUUGGCGAACACGCCCACUUUGCAAACUUUGGCAUCGCUUUCUUGACAUUGUUCCGCGUGGCGACGGGCGACAACUGGAACGGCAUCAUGAAGGACACACUGCGUGAAAACUGCGACCCGUCGGCCGAUUGUAUCAGGAACUGCUGCGUAUCCCGCAUUAUCGCGCCCAUCUUUUUCGUCAUUUUUGUCCUGAUGGCUCAGUUUGUCCUGGUCAACGUCGUCGUCGCUGUUCUCAUGAAACACCUAGAAGAAUCGCACAAACAGAUGGAAGACGAUAUGGAAAUGGAGAUGGAAUUGGCCGAAGAAUUUGCACCUCUGCCGACCGCUAACGACGAGACUGUUAAAGUAAACGACGAGCUUGAAGAGCUGGAACUGACUAACACCGCUGCAUCCUGAGUCUUUACCUUUAUCUCAUCGAACAAGUAGAAAACGUUUUUUUUUUCUUUCUUUCGUCCUAGAGAGGUUAAAUUUUAAGAAAUCAGUCCAUUUGUUUUUUUCUUGUGAAACCAGAUGGGUAAAAUAGUUUCGUCUCGUCGACGGAUGUUUAUAGAAAUUGUGCGUCGUAUUGAGAAAAAAAAACUUGUUCUGUAUUACCUGUUUCGAAAUGCAUCAGGUAUCGCACAGGAAUAGUUUUCACGUCCGUAUCUCCAUCUCGUCCUUCUUCGUUUCCCUCCUUUUUAGUUUCAAUCAAUUUUUUUCCAAAAGAUGAUUAUAAUCAUCGUUUUUUUUUCUUUCUAAAUAUGGACAAGCACUUGAGCGCCUUCUCUCAUUCCUCCUUGUGUAAUCAACAUGUUAUCCUGCACCCUGCAGCUCCUUCCAUCCAAGACCAGCAACUUCGCUCUUUGAUUUCUUCCCUUUGCAAUUUUUUUUUUCUCUUUUUUGACUCUCUCCCUUUACUUUUGUCAAAUUGAGAAACGAAAGAGUCUCACACACAUGAUCACCUGACCGUCUCACCAUAAUAUUGUGACUGUUUGCGUAGAGAGCAUUGUAUUUUCGACUUGUCGUCAACGGCGAAAUGAAAACCUCUUUGUUUUUUCAUUCGUUUUUCUCUCUAGUGUAAAGUGACCCUAACUAAACAUCGGAAACAUUUUUUUGUUAAAUAUAUAUAACUGUUUUCAUGAUAGUUUACUAUAUCGUUUAAAAAUGAAUCUUUCGGGAGGAUUGUAUUCGAGUUUAUAGCAAUACCUUAUGAUUAUUACUCACCUUACAUUUGAAGUGAACAGACGAAAAUGAUACACCCCCUACACCAGUGAGUACCGUAUACCCUCAAGCCCUCCCGAAUUCUGUACCAUUGUAUUCUCCUCUUACGUGAAUGCCCCUGUAAAAUGACGCUGUGUUACAACCGCAAAAUUUGUUUCCGUUUAAAUUUUUGUUUACUAUUUAGUUUUAAAGAAUUUUUACGUGGAAGAAAAAAAAUUGAUUCGAAAAAAAAGUUAAUUCAAAUGCGGAAUCUUGUGCGGUACCGUGUUUUAUUUUUAACGGUGAUCUUCUUGCCAAACCAUUCGUCCUGAUAAUCGACUUUACGUGGGUUUCGCUUUAUUUUACCAUAUUUAGUGUAAUCACGUUUCUGGCGUUUAAAUCGUUUGGCAUUUAUUUCGUCUCUGUUGUGGUACUUUUUUAUCGCAACAGGAAUGUGAAAAUGCCCUUUUCAGUGUUGACUGAAGAAAAAAAAAACCGGCCGUGACAUGAGUAAUUAAUGGCACAGCUUACGUGUAACUUCCUCUACUCCCACUCGCAGUUGACAGGGUAUCCGUGCGAUACCUCAAAACUCGUGUAGGCUACUCCAAACUACAGUGUAGGUAUUGAUGCAAUGUCUCCGUGAGCUUUUGACACGUCCUCACGAAAUUGAACAACUUUAUCUCGUUUGCUUAAUAUCAUUCUUAUCUGACCCGUUGGGCGUUUCUAUAAAGUUUCUAGCUAGACUCACGAAUGUGGCAGUCGAUCGUCUCAGUUUUCCAGUUAAGAAUGGCCGGUACGAACAAAUUGUUCAAGGUGUUUGCAAUCAUUUUAUUGCUGGGCGCCGUACUCCUAAUUGUCGACGCUUCAAAUAAGAAACAUUUGAAGAAAAAAACAGCUUCAAAGAAGACCUUCAAACAGCUUCUAUUUUCCGACGAUGACGAUCUGAUGCUCGGAGAUGAACCGGAGUCUAGCGGUGAUGGUUCUAAUGUCCCAGAUAAUGAAGGAAGUGCGAGUCCAACAAUCAAGUCCUUGCCACAAGCUAACCAGGUCGAUCCUGAUUUCUCCAUCGACGGAUUACCGGACAUCAACGAUCUUCUAACCGAAGAAGGAAAUAAUUUUAAAUGGCCAACGUUUAAACCUCCAGUGCAGCCAACGGCUAGACCCCCUGCCAUUCAACUAACUCUUGUCCACCGGUGAAACUCCCCUGUCAAUCGGGUCAACCUUGCCCACCGGCCCAACCGCCCUGUUAUGGUAAACCCUGUCCACCAGUACAACCUCCGUGCAAUACAGGUAAACCUUGUCCACCGAUCCAACCUCCUGUGCGACCUCCAUGCCAGUCAGGUAAACCUUGUCCACCGAUCCAACCUCCUUGUCAUUCAGGUAAACCUUGUCCACCGGUCCAACCACCGGCCCAACCUCCUUGCCAUUCAGGUAAACCUUGUCCACAGGUCAAGCCUCCGUGCCAGCCUAAUCGCCCAUGUCACUCUAAACUUCCGUGCCACUCAUCUAACGGUCUCUGCAACCCACUCAGCCUGCCGCCUGCAUACAGCCCAACCAGCGUGUGUGGAAAAACCUACUUUUGUCGAAAAGGUUUCAGCGGCCCUUGUAAUAGAAAUGAAGUUUUUACUUCUUCGCCGAGCCAUUUAUCACGGCCCGUCUCUUUUGCACGCUCGAAGUGCUCCAACUAUUUUUCUCCGCCGCCAGGUUGCUUUUCAUCAACGAAUAAUCCGUUCACUUUAACAGGCAAGAGCUCACCUGGGUAUUGUACGAUUCGCUAUGCCCAGCAGCCUUGCUACGGCUACCCUUCGACGUACCGCUAUUGCAAACAAACGAAACACUGCUAUCCUACCAUGUCCACGUCACUGUACAACCCAAGACCAUCACACGGGCCGUGUCUGGCUGACCAGUAUUUUACUGCCACAGAUCAAAGCUACGGUUAUUGUCGUUGCAGUCGUCCCAACUAUGUUCAUUGUCCAAAGACCAAUCGCUGUUAUCCAGCAUACACUAAGGGCUCUUGUUCCACCGGCCAGUGGCUUGUUCCACACGGAAAUCAUGGCUUAGCUACCUGUAAAGCUUGCCCUUGCCCUUCGCUGGCGGACGGUCAGCACAUUUACUGGAGCGGGACGGGCCAGCAACAUGGAAGACCGGGUUGCUACAAGUCACAAACCCGUGGUCCUUGCCGACACGGCAUGCGAUUUGUGAUCAGCGAUAUUCUCACGGGUUCUGCGCAUUGUGUCCGCAAUCACUCGGACAAGAGACGGCCGAGUUCGAGUUACAACUCGUUGUUGAGCGACUGGAACUUGUUUUACGGGAAAUUCUAAGUUUUAACCGGCCAGUGCAAUAAGUUUUAGAAAUUUGCCGAACCAAUCGUUUGUAAGAAAACGUAUGUAUGUAGUCAGGAUAAAAAUGCAAGAUUUUGAUUUUAAAACUCGCAAAAAUCCAAUUCAGUACUGCCAAGAAAUAUAAUAGCCUUUCUUUUUGCCCCUA